UCCAGACUCCUACGGGAGGCAGCAGUGGGGAAUAUUGCACAAUGGGGGAAACCCUGAUGCAGCGACGCCGCGUGAGUGAAGAAGUAUUUCGGUAUGUAAAGCUCUAUCAGCAGGGAAGAAGCAAGACGGUACCUGACUAAGAAGCCCCGGCUAACUACGUGCCAGCAGCCGCGGUAAUACGUAGGGGGCAAGCGUUAUCCGGAUUUACUGGGUGUAAAGGGGGCGCAGACGGCAGCGCAAGCCAGGAGUGAAAGCCCGGGGCCCAACCCCGGGACUGCUCUUGGAACUGCGCGGCUGGAGUGCAGGAGGGGCAGGCGGAAUUCCUGGUGUAGCGGUGAAAUGCGUAGAUAUCAGGAGGAACACCGGUGGCGAAGGCGGCCUGCUGGACUGCGACUGACGUUGAGGCCCGAAAGCGUGGGGAGCAAACAGGAUUAGAUGCCCGAGUAUU
This 448-nucleotide ribosomal RNA is filed under the name uncultured bacterium. RNAcentral's name for it is "partial 16S ribosomal RNA". It matches the Rfam family "Bacterial small subunit ribosomal RNA", at positions 330 to 794 of the family's 1533-position model. The record is from RNAcentral.